Molecule: ribosomal RNA, 418 nt
Filed under: Oxytrigona tataira
Lineage: Eukaryota; Metazoa; Arthropoda; Insecta; Hymenoptera; Apidae
Description: partial 16S large subunit ribosomal RNA
Source: RNAcentral
UUAAAUAGCUGCAGUAUACCUGACUGUACAAAGGUAGCAUAAUCAAUUGGUUUUUAAAUGAAAUCUGGAAUGAAAGGAUUAAUGAAAUAUAUACUGACUCAUAUUUAUUUUAUGAAUUUAAAUUUUUAAUAAAAAUGUUAAAAUUUAUUUAUGGGACGAUAAGACCCUAUAGAAUUUUAUAUUAUAUUAUUUUUAUUUUUAAAAUAAAAUUUAAUUUAAUAUUUGAUUGGGAGAAUUAUUAAAUUUAAUAAAUUUUAAUUAAUAAGAACUUUGAUUAAAGAAAAAAAAAUGAUCUUUAAUUUAAAAUUUUAAGAAUAAAUUACCUUAGGGAUAACAGCGUUAUAUUUUUUUAUAGAUCAUAUAGAAAAAAAUGAUUGCGACCUCGAUGUUGAAUUAAGAUAAAUUUUAAACGAAGAAG